Molecule: ribosomal RNA, 500 nt
Filed under: uncultured bacterium
Lineage: Bacteria
Description: partial 16S ribosomal RNA
Rfam family: Bacterial small subunit ribosomal RNA
Source: RNAcentral
AUUGAACGCUGGCGGCAUGCCUUACGCAUGCAAGUCGAACGGCAGCACGGGAGCAAUCCUGGUGGCGAGUGGCGAACGGGUGAGUAAAGUAUCGGAACGUGCCCAGUCGUGGAGGAUAACGUAGCGAAAGCUACGCUAAUACCGCAUACGAUCUAUGGAUGAAAGCGGGGGAUCGCAAGACCUCGCGCGAUUGGAGCGGCCGAUAUCAGAUUAGGUAGUUGGUGGGGUAAAGGCCCACCAAGCCGACGAUCUGUAGCUGGUCUGAGAGGACGACCAGUCACACUGGGACUGAGACACGGCCCAGACUCCUGCGGGAGGCAGCAGUGGGGAAUUUUGGACAAUGGGCGCAAGCCUGAUCCAGCAAUGCCGCGUGCAGGAUGAAGGCCUUCGGGUUGUAAACUGCUUUUGUACGGAGCGAAAAGGCUCGCACUAAUACUGUGGGCUCAUGACGGUACCGUAAGAAUAAGCACCGGCUAACUACGUGCCAGCCGCCGCCGUAA